GGGAUGCACACGCAGGGAGCAACCAACCCCGCCCAAGCGCCGAAAUCCACGUUACGGCUGCGCAGGAGGCAGCUAAGUGGGCCCCUCUGGGCCAGGCUGUACUCCGUUUGUGCUUUCUGGGUUAUGAUCUCCCCAGACGGUGCUGAUGAGGACCUCGAAGGAGGCUUUUAUGCACUCAAGAGGCCUGUUCAUCCACUCCAAUUCCAUCCAAAUCAGGGCUCUGGAGGCCUCUUCCAGGAAACCUGGAGUGGCCUGUCCUACCCCACCCGAGCCAACC
Molecule: long non-coding RNA, 277 nt
Organism: Physeter macrocephalus (sperm whale)
Lineage: Eukaryota; Metazoa; Chordata; Mammalia; Artiodactyla; Physeteridae
Exons: 3
Source: RefSeq, a predicted model, not a curated record